GACGAACGCUGGCGGCGUGCUUAACACAUGCAAGUCGAACGGUAAGGCCCUUCGGGGUACACGAGUGGCGAACGGGUGAGUAACACGUGGGUGAUCUGCCCUGCACUUCGGGAUAAGCCUGGGAAACUGGGUCUAAUACCGGAUAGGACCACUGCCUGCAUGGGUGGUGGUGGAAAGCUUUUGCGGUGUGGGAUGGGCCCGCGGCCUAUCAGCUUGUUGGUGGGGUGAUGGCCUACCAAGGCGACGACGGGUAGCCGGCCUGAGAGGGUGACCGGCCACACUGGGACUGAGAUGCGGCCCAGACUCCGACGGGAGGCAGCAGUGGGGAAUAUUGCACAAUGGGCGCAAGCCUGAUGCAGCGACGCCGCGUGAGGGAUGACGGCCUUCGGGUUGUAAACCUCUUUCAGCACCGACGAAGCGCGAGUGACGGUACCUACAGAAGAAGGACCGGCCAACUACGUGCCAGCCGCCGCCGUAA
This 478-nucleotide ribosomal RNA is filed under the name uncultured bacterium. RNAcentral describes it as "partial 16S ribosomal RNA". It matches the Rfam family "Bacterial small subunit ribosomal RNA", at positions 28 to 523 of the family's 1533-position model. The record is from RNAcentral.